RNAcentral lists this ribosomal RNA (242 nucleotides) under Salmonella enterica. Its description in RNAcentral is "partial 16S ribosomal RNA". The record is from RNAcentral. Lineage: Bacteria; Pseudomonadati; Pseudomonadota; Gammaproteobacteria; Enterobacterales; Enterobacteriaceae.
AAAUUGAAGAGUUUGAUCAUGGCUCAGAUUGAACGCUGGCGGCAGGCCUAACACAUGCAAGUCGAACGGUAACAGGAAGCAGCUUGCUGCUUCGCUGACGAGUGGCGGACGGGUGAGUAAUGUCUGGGAAACUGCCUGAUGGAGGGGGAUAACUACUGGAAACGGUGGCUAAUACCGCAUAACGUCGCAAGACCAAAGAGGGGGACCUUCGGGCCUCUUGCCAUCRGAUGUGCCCAGAUGGG